RNAcentral lists this ribosomal RNA (520 nucleotides) under uncultured Glomus. RNAcentral's name for it is "SSU rRNA". It matches the Rfam family "Eukaryotic small subunit ribosomal RNA", at positions 569 to 1091 of the family's 1831-position model. Lineage: Eukaryota; Fungi; Glomeromycota; Glomeromycetes; Glomerales; Glomeraceae. The record is from RNAcentral.
CGCAGCCGCGGUAAUUCCAGCUCCAAUAGCGUAUAUUAAAGUUGUUGCAGUUAAAAAGCUCGUAGUUGAAUUUCGGGAUCAAUAUAUCGGUCGUGCCCCUGUACGUACUGGUAUCAUUGGUUUCUCCUUUCUGACGAACAAUGAUGUCAUUAAUUUGGUGUUAUAGGGAGUUAGGACUGUUACUUUGAAAAAAUUAGAGUGUUUAAAGCAGGCAUUAGCUUGAGUACAUUAGCAUGGAAUAAUGAAAUAGGACGUUUGACCUUAUUUUGUUGGUUUCUAGGAUCGACGUAAUGAUUAAUAGGGAUAGUUGGGGGCAUUAGUAUUCAAUUGUCAGAGGUGAAAUUCUUGGAUUUAUUGAAGACUAACUACUGCGAAAGCAUUUGCCAAGGAUGUUUUCAUUAAUCAAGAACGAAAGUUAGGGGAUCGAAGACAAUCAGAUACCGUCGUAGUCUUAACCAUAAACUAUGCCGACUAGGGAUCGGAUGAUGUUAAUUUUUUAAUGACUCAUUCGGCGCCUUAC